RNAcentral lists this ribosomal RNA (450 nucleotides) under uncultured organism. RNAcentral's name for it is "partial 16S ribosomal RNA". It matches the Rfam family "Bacterial small subunit ribosomal RNA", at positions 330 to 797 of the family's 1533-position model. The record is from RNAcentral.
CGUACACUCCUACGGGAGGCAGCAGUGGGGAAUAUUGGACAAUGGGCGCAAGCCUGAUCCAGCCAUGCCGCGUGAGUGAUGAAGGCCCUAGGGUUGUAAAGCUCUUUCACCGGUGAAGAUAAUGACGGUAACCGGAGAAGAAGCCCCGGCUAACUUCGUGCCAGCAGCCGCGGUAAUACGAAGGGGGCUAGCGUUGUUCGGAUUUACUGGGCGUAAAGCGCACGUAGGCGGACUAUUAAGUCAGGAGUGAAAUCCCGGGGCUCAACCCCGGAACUGCCUUUGAUACUGGUAGUCUUGAGUUCGAGAGAGGUGAGUGGAAUUCCGAGUGUAGAGGUGAAAUUCGUAGAUAUUCGGAGGAACACCAGUGGCGAAGGCGGCUCACUGGCUCGAUACUGACGCUGAGGUGCGAAAGCGUGGGGAGCAAACAGGAUUAGAAACCCUAGUAGUCCC